Molecule: non-coding RNA, 25 nt
Filed under: Cricetulus griseus (Chinese hamster)
Lineage: Eukaryota; Metazoa; Chordata; Mammalia; Rodentia; Cricetidae
Source: RNAcentral
UGAAACUGGGGAGCAAGUGCAGAGA